Molecule: unclassified non-coding RNA, 310 nt
Filed under: plant metagenome
Description: partial contains 5.8S ribosomal RNA, internal transcribed spacer 2, and large subunit ribosomal RNA
Rfam family: 5.8S ribosomal RNA (bases 1-105)
Source: RNAcentral
GAAAUGCGAUAAGUAGUGUGAAUUGCAGAAUUCAGUGAAUCAUCGAAUCUUUGAACGCACAUUGCGCCCCUUGGUAUUCCAUGGGGCAUGCCUGUUCGAGCGUCAUUUGUACCCUCAAGCUCUGCUUGGUGUUGGGUGUUUGUCCCCGUCUCCGCGCGUGGACUCGCCCCAAAGUAAUUGGCAGCCGGCGUACUGGUCCCGGAGCGCAGCACAUGUCGCGCAAACGAGUGCCUUGGUACGGCGGCGUCCAUAAGCCCCUCUCUCACGCUCUUGACCUCGGAUCAGGUAGGGAUACCCGCUGAACUUAAGC